Molecule: long non-coding RNA, 387 nt
Organism: Solea senegalensis (Senegalese sole)
Lineage: Eukaryota; Metazoa; Chordata; Actinopteri; Pleuronectiformes; Soleidae
Exons: 3
Source: RefSeq, a predicted model, not a curated record
GUUACCUGUUGUUGUGUCUGCGGUUUGUGUUUCCCAGACUAAUUAUUAGCCCGUGGUUUUUGCAUCACUCUGGUUCUUCUUACACCAGAAACAUCCAGUAAUGAACAGUUUCAAAAAUGUCGUGUGCUGUCAGUGGACAUGUGGACUCAUCCAGAAACGUUUUCUGGAACCUGUUGGUGCUUCAUUUCGUUCACAUGGAGACUAACGUUAGCCGCUGAUACAGAUCUUCUCGACCUCAAUCAUCAGAGUUACAAUAACCAGACGCCUCCGUCAGCGAGUCGCUGAUUACACACCUCCAGCUAUCGCUGCUGCUCCCAUUCACCUCUCCGCUGCUUCCACCGUGUGACACAAACCAGGACCUGGCGUGGAAUUUACUCACUCUGUGGA